GUGCUCGCUUCGGCAGCAUAUAUACUAAAAUUGGAACAAUACAGAGAAGAUUAGCAUGGCCUCUGCACAAGGAUGAUACCCAAUCAUCCCGUUAUUCCUUCUCUUUUC
Suncus etruscus (white-toothed pygmy shrew) is the source of this 108-nucleotide small nuclear RNA. The record is from RefSeq and is a predicted model, not a curated record. NCBI's taxonomy places the organism in Eukaryota, Metazoa, Chordata, Mammalia, Eulipotyphla, Soricidae.